Small nucleolar RNA from Lolium rigidum, 112 nucleotides. RefSeq annotates it as small nucleolar RNA SNORA5. NCBI's taxonomy places the organism in Eukaryota, Viridiplantae, Streptophyta, Magnoliopsida, Poales, Poaceae. The record is from RefSeq and is a predicted model, not a curated record. The transcript has a single exon.
CGCAGCUAUAUCACAUGCGCCACAGAACUACUUAUUUCUGUGGCGCACCGGCCCAAGUGUGCCACAAAAACCUUAAUUCUGUGGCGCACGGCCAGAUGCGCCACAGAAAGCU